UACAGAGGUCCCAAGCGUUGUUCGGAUUUACUGGGCGUAAAGGGUGCGCAGGCGGCUUUGCAAGUCAGGCGUGAAAUCCCCGGGCUUAACCUGGGAACUGCACUUGAAACUACGAUGCUGGAGUAUGGCAGAGGGAGGUGGAAUUCCACGUGUAGCGGUGAAAUGCGUAGAGAUGUGGAGGAACACCGAUGGCGAAGGCAGCCUCCUGGGCCAAUACUGACGCUCAGGCACGAAAGCGUGGGGAGCAAACAGG
This 253-nucleotide ribosomal RNA is filed under the name uncultured bacterium. RNAcentral's name for it is "partial 16S ribosomal RNA". It matches the Rfam family "Bacterial small subunit ribosomal RNA", at positions 524 to 776 of the family's 1533-position model. The record is from RNAcentral.